This 484-nucleotide ribosomal RNA is filed under the name uncultured bacterium. RNAcentral describes it as "partial 16S ribosomal RNA". It matches the Rfam family "Bacterial small subunit ribosomal RNA", at positions 30 to 507 of the family's 1533-position model. The record is from RNAcentral.
AUUGAACGCUGGCGGCAGGCCUAACACAUGCAAGUCGAGCGGAUGAAGGGAGCUUGCUCCUGGAUUCAGCGGCGGACGGGUGAGUAAUGCCUAGGAAUCUGCCUGGUAGUGGGGGAUAACGUCCGGAAACGGGCGCUAAUACCGCAUACGUCCUGAGGGAGAAAGUGGGGGAUCUUCGGACCUCACGCUAUCAGAUGAGCCUAGGUCGGAUUAGCUAGUUGGUGGGGUAAAGGCCUACCAAGGCGACGAUCCGUAACUGGUCUGAGAGGAUGAUCAGUCACACUGGAACUGAGACACGGUCCAGACUCCUACGGGACGUAGCAGUGGGGAAUAUUGGACAAUGGGCGAAAGCCUGAUCCAGCCAUGCCGCGUGUGUGAAGAAGGUCUUCGGAUUGUAAAGCACUUUAAGUUGGGAGGAAGGGCAGUAAGUUAAUACCUUGCUGUUUUGACGUUACCAACAGAAUAAGCACCGGCUAACUUCGUG